Long non-coding RNA from Metopolophium dirhodum (rose-grain aphid), 308 nucleotides. RefSeq lists it as uncharacterized. The record is from RefSeq and is a predicted model, not a curated record. The transcript is spliced from 3 exons. Lineage: Eukaryota; Metazoa; Arthropoda; Insecta; Hemiptera; Aphididae.
GUUCUUACACAAACGAUUACGAAAUUUUCUUUCAUUAUAUUGAUUUUAAUUUAUAGUUUUUACAUUUUUAUGAUAAUCAUUAAGGUGUCCAAUUCAAUCAACCUAAAUUAUGCUGUAAUUCCUCAUAAUUUUUGCGUUGAAGAUACCAAAUAUAAUGACGGCUUUAACUGUUACGCAAGAUAUUUGAGUACUAUUCGUCUUUUCGAUAUGCAGCUAUUGGACCCACAAGAUUUUUUUUUAUCAUCAUACAGUAAGUUAUUUUAACUUAAUAUUUCAUACACAAUACAAUGUAAGACACAUAAAUUAAG